GGAGUUAACCAGACAGUCGCUGCUUUACCGUUGUCCCAAUAUGGGAAACGGGGUGGGGGAGGAAAGUCCGGGCUCCAUAGGGCAGGGUGCCAGGUAACGCCUGGGAGGUGUAAACCUACGACAAGUGCAACAGAGAGAAAACCGCCUAUGGCCCCUAACGGGAUCAGGUAAGGGUGCAAGGGUGCGGUAAGAGCGCACCGCGCGGCUGGUAACAGUUCGCGGCACGGUAAACUCCACCCGGAGCAAGGCCAAAUAGAGGUUCUCAUGGUAUGGCCCGUACUGAACCCGGGUAGGCUGCUUGAGCUAGUGCGUGAGUACUGGCCUAGAUGAAUGACUGUCCACGACAGAACCCGGCUUAACGGUUAACUCCAUUA
Molecule: RNase P RNA, 374 nt
Filed under: Candidatus Moranella endobia PCIT
Lineage: Bacteria; Pseudomonadati; Pseudomonadota; Gammaproteobacteria; Enterobacterales; Enterobacteriaceae
Description: Bacterial RNase P class A
Rfam family: Bacterial RNase P class A
About the family: Ribonuclease P (RNase P) is a ubiquitous endoribonuclease, found in archaea, bacteria and eukarya as well as chloroplasts and mitochondria. Its best characterised activity is the generation of mature 5'-ends of tRNAs by cleaving the 5'-leader elements of precursor-tRNAs.
Source: Rfam by way of RNAcentral